UACGUAGGGUGCGAGCGUUAAUCGGAAUUACUGGGCGUAAAGCGUGCGCAGGCGGCUUUGCAAGACAGAUGUGAAAUCCCCGGGCUUAACCUGGGAACUGCAUUUGUGACUGCAUGGCUCGAGUGCGGCAGAGGGGGAUGGAAUUCCGCGUGUAGCAGUGAAAUGCGUAGAUAUGCGGAGGAACACCGAUGGCGAAGGCAAUCCCCUGGGCCUGCACUGACGCUCAUGCACGAAAGCGUGGGGAGCGAACAGG
Molecule: ribosomal RNA, 253 nt
Filed under: uncultured bacterium
Lineage: Bacteria
Description: partial 16S ribosomal RNA
Rfam family: Bacterial small subunit ribosomal RNA
Source: RNAcentral